CCUACGGGGGACAGCAGUGGGGAAUAUUGCACAAUGGGGGGAACCCUGAUGCAGCAACGCCGCGUGGGUGAAGAAGUACUUCGGUAUGUAAAGCCCUGUCAGCAGGGAAGAAAAUGACGGUACCUGACCAAGAAGCCCCGGCUAACUACGGGCCAGCAGCCGCGGUAAUACGGAGGGGGCAAGCGUUAUCCGGAUUUACUGGGUGGAAAGGGAGGGUAGACGGCAAGGCAAGUCUGGAGUGAAAGCCCGUGGCUCAACCACGGGACUGCUUUGGAAACUGCGGUGCUGGAGUGCAGUAGGGGUAAGCGGAAUUCCUAGUGUAGCGGUGAAAUGCGUAGAUAUUAGGAGGAACACCGGUGGCGAAGGCGGCUUACUGGACUGUAACUGACGUUGAGGCUCGAAGGUGUGGGGAGCAAACAGGAUUAGAUACCCGUGUAGUC
This 440-nucleotide ribosomal RNA is filed under the name uncultured bacterium. Its description in RNAcentral is "partial 16S ribosomal RNA". It matches the Rfam family "Bacterial small subunit ribosomal RNA", at positions 338 to 795 of the family's 1533-position model. The record is from RNAcentral.